UACAGAGGUCCCAAGCGUUGUUCGGAUUUACUGGGCGUAAAGGGUGCGUAGGUGGCGAGGUAAGUUCGAUGUGAAAUCUCCGAGCUCAACUCGGAAACGGCAUUGAAUACUAUCCCGCUUGAGGGUCGGAGGGGAGACUGGAAUUCUCGGUGUAGCAGUGAAAUGCGUAGAUAUCGAGAGGAACACCAGUGGCGAAGGCGAGUCUCUGGACGACUCCUGACACUGAGGCACGAAAGCUGGGGGAGCAAACAGG
This 253-nucleotide ribosomal RNA is filed under the name uncultured bacterium. RNAcentral's name for it is "partial 16S ribosomal RNA". It matches the Rfam family "Bacterial small subunit ribosomal RNA", at positions 524 to 776 of the family's 1533-position model. The record is from RNAcentral.